GGCGCGGUGGCGGAACUGGUAGACGCGCAAGUCUCAAAAACUUGUGAGGGUAAAACCUCGUGUCGGUUCGACUCCGACCCGCGCCACCA
This 89-nucleotide transfer RNA is filed under the name Candidatus Berkelbacteria bacterium. RNAcentral describes it as "tRNA-Leu". It matches the Rfam family "tRNA". From Rfam's summary of the family: Transfer RNA (tRNA) molecules are approximately 80 nucleotides in length. Their secondary structure includes four short double-helical elements and three loops (D, anti-codon, and T loops). Further hydrogen bonds mediate the characteristic L-shaped molecular structure. tRNAs have two regions of fundamental functional importance: the anti-codon, which is responsible for specific mRNA codon recognition, and the 3' end, to which the tRNAs corresponding amino acid is attached (by aminoacyl-tRNA synthetases). tRNAs cope with the degeneracy of the genetic code in two manners: having more than one tRNA (with a specific anti-codon) for a particular amino acid; and 'wobble' base-pairing, i.e. permitting non-standard base-pairing at the 3rd anti-codon position. Lineage: Bacteria; Candidatus Berkelbacteria. The record is from RNAcentral.